AGGUUGGUUGGUGUGCUUAUAAAUGUAUAUGUGUAUAUAUAUAUAUAUAUACACACACACACACACACACACACACACACACACACACACAUAU
Molecule: microRNA precursor, 94 nt
Filed under: Sorex araneus (European shrew)
Lineage: Eukaryota; Metazoa; Chordata; Mammalia; Eulipotyphla; Soricidae
Description: miRNA (ENSSARG00000017328.1)
Source: RNAcentral